UGGGGAAUAUUUGACAAUGGGUGAAAGCCUGAUCCAGCCAUGCCGCGUGUGUGAAGAAGGCCUUCUGGUUGUAAAGCACUUUAAGCGAGGAGGAGGCUACCGAGAUUAAUACUCUUGGAUAGUGGACGUUACUCGCAGAAUAAGCACCGGCUAACUCUGUGCCAGCAGCCGCGGUAAUACAGAGGGUGCGAGCGUUAAUCGGAUUUACUGGGCGUAAAGCGUGCGUAGGCGGCAUUUUAAGUCGGAUGUGAAAUCCCUGAGCUUAACUUAGGAAUUGCAUUCGAUACUGGGAAGCUAGAGUAUGGGAGAGGAUGGUAGAAUUCCAGGUGGAGCGGUGAAAUGCGUAGAGAGAAGGAGGAAGACCGAGGGCGAAGGCAGCCAUCUGGCCUAAUACUGACGCUGAGGUACGAAAGCAUGGGGAGCAAACAGA
RNAcentral lists this ribosomal RNA (430 nucleotides) under Acidobacteriota bacterium. Its description in RNAcentral is "Acidobacteria bacterium partial 16S ribosomal RNA". It matches the Rfam family "Bacterial small subunit ribosomal RNA", at positions 355 to 776 of the family's 1533-position model. Lineage: Bacteria; Pseudomonadati; Acidobacteriota. The record is from RNAcentral.